CCUACGGGUGGCUGCAGUAGGGAAUCUUCCACAAUGGGCGCAAGCCUGAUGGAGCAACACCGCGUGAGUGAAGAAGGGUUUCGGCUCGUAAAACUCUGUUGUUGAAGAAGAACGUGCGUGAGAGUAACUGUUCACGCAGUGACGGUAUUCAACCAGAAAGUCACGGCUAACUACGUGCCAGCAGCCGCGGUAAUACGUAGGUGGCAAGCGUUAUCCGGAUUUAUUGGGCGUAAAGCGAGCGCAGGCGGGUUUCUAAGUCUGAUGUGAAAGCCUUCGGCUUAACCGGAGAAGUGCAUCGGAAACUGGAUAACUUGAGUGCAAGAGAGGACAGUGGAACUCCAUGUGUAGCGGUGGAAUGCGUAGAUAUAUGGAAGAACACCAGUGGCGAAGGCGGCUGUCUAGCUUGCAACUGACGCUGAGGCUCGAAAGCAUGGGUAGCGAACAGGAUUAGAUACCCUGGUAGUC
RNAcentral lists this ribosomal RNA (465 nucleotides) under uncultured Lactobacillus sp. RNAcentral describes it as "bacterial SSU rRNA". It matches the Rfam family "Bacterial small subunit ribosomal RNA", at positions 338 to 795 of the family's 1533-position model. The record is from RNAcentral. Lineage: Bacteria; Bacillati; Bacillota; Bacilli; Lactobacillales; Lactobacillaceae.